UUAAUCACUUUGAGCAGACACGGAAACGUCCUGCUCGUGCAGUGCCAGCCUGACCUACAGUGUGCUGCGGGCACAGGGCUCAUAGAGCAAGGUCGGCAUGGAAUUGCUCAUACAUGUAGAAGUUCCAGAACUGUGGAGACGUGGCAUUGAGGGACACAGUCACUGGGUAUGGAGGGAUGGGCUGGGGUUGCCCUCAGGGAUCCUAGAAGCCUUUUCCAGCCCUAACGAUUCUAUGGUCCCAUUCAGACAUCAACAUCACAUCCCAGCAAGUGCAGUAAUUGUGGGAAAGACACAAACUACGUGAGCAGGAUCUCCAGCAGCAGCUGAGGUCUCCGGAUAUAAGAAACCUACCUGCCCAACUCACUGCGGUGCUGAACGCCUCGGAUACCCAGGGAGAAAUCAAACCACAGUUUCUGGAAGGUUUAAUUUAAACACUUGAACUAAAUGGAGAGGUAUUUGAAGCACAAGGACAGCUGUCCAACAGCAGUGUGGUGCCCUCAACAGGAAUCAGAGCCCACAGAAAAUGAAGCCUUCAUCCAAAGUCUGCAAUGCAGUUCAGAGAGUGCAGCCCAGCUGGUCUGCAGCAGCCACACUUCUCACCUCUGUCUUCGAGACCACUAGCAAACAGCCUUCCCACCACCACCUUUAAUAGGUACAAGGCUCCACCUUGCUGUGUUUCUGUAAUGGGAAAUGCCUCUGUGUGAACUCAUAGCAAGCCUCCCAGUCAAGAGUUUUUACGUAACACUGCUCGUUUAUCCUCGUGUGCCAUCAUUCAGCACUGAAAACAUUUGCAAAGGCAUAACUAGUUCACAUGGCGAUAUCCUCUAUGUGUGCAAUACAAAGGCAUUCUGUUCUGCGUGCCCUGCAUGAGGGCACAUCAAGUCUGCUUGCGCCCAGCGCUCCGUGCUCACACAACACGUACACAUCACUGCUCCCCGGACUACAGCACAACUCCAUGAGGCACAGCUGACACUGGCUGAGCAUUGUCCAGCCACACACCAGGCUUUCUGUGCCUGCCCUGGAGCUGCACUGUUCUCCCCAUCACAGCAGCCCCAGCCAUAACCAGGAGGAGCUGUGAGCACCACCAAGCACAAGCAGCACCGAGCAGCCCUUCCUUAGUCCUGCAUCCCACAGAAGUGUCUAAGUGCUUGGACAAAGGCUUAACUUGACCUGUAGAGAUCUGAACUUU
Long non-coding RNA from Numida meleagris (helmeted guineafowl), 1189 nucleotides. RefSeq lists it as uncharacterized. NCBI's taxonomy places the organism in Eukaryota, Metazoa, Chordata, Aves, Galliformes, Numididae. The transcript is spliced from 3 exons. The record is from RefSeq and is a predicted model, not a curated record.